Molecule: ribosomal RNA, 252 nt
Filed under: uncultured bacterium
Lineage: Bacteria
Description: partial 16S ribosomal RNA
Rfam family: Bacterial small subunit ribosomal RNA
Source: RNAcentral
GACGAAGGGGGCUAGCGUUGUUCGGAAUUACUGGGCGUAAAGCGCGUGUAGGCGGUUGUUCAAGUCAGGUGUGAAAGCCUUGAGCUCAACCCAAGAAAUGCACUUGAUACUGGAUGACUAGAGGACCGGAGAGGAUAGUGGAAUUCCCAGUGUAGUGGUGAAAUACGUAGAGAUUGGGAAGAACACCAGUGGCGAAGGCGGCUAUCUGGACGGUUUCUGACGCUAAGACGCGAAAGCGUGGGGAGCAACAGG